Long non-coding RNA from Cheilinus undulatus (humphead wrasse), 745 nucleotides. RefSeq lists it as uncharacterized. Lineage: Eukaryota; Metazoa; Chordata; Actinopteri; Labriformes; Labridae. The transcript has 5 exons. The record is from RefSeq and is a predicted model, not a curated record.
UACCCACUCAGGGAGGCUGAAUCUACACUGAGAAGGAAGAAGCAUCGUCUCAUCCACGUCACCAUGAAGCUGCUGGCUGUGUCUGCUCUGGUCUGUGCCGUGGUGGUUCUGACCAACGCUGCUGCGUACCAAUGAUCUGUUCAAGAGGCAUACUGGGGAGUGGACCAUCGUUGGGAAUCAUCAGUACCUCUAUGUUGACUAUCCCCAAACCUGGUCUCAAGCUGAGCAAAACUGCCACCAGCUGGGAGGUCAUCUGGCAUCUGUGCAUUCACACCUUGAAAACCAUCAGAUCGCACUGCUGGUGACCAGAAUGACUGGUGGGAAUCCCAGGGUUUGGCUGGGAGCCUCUGACCAGCAUCGGCUAACCAAUGCUGGGAUGACGUUCAGUGCAGCACUCCUUUUCCCUCCAUCUGCUGGAAGCCCAAGUAACCAUAAACAUGAGCCAACGCCAUGAAGGACGGUGAAGAAGCACCAACACUGGUGGAAAUGUUACCCAGCAGUCUAAUUUGACCCAUAGCUCUAUAUCUGAUCCUUCUCUCUACUUUUCUUUUCUAUCGCUGUAACGCUGACAAGGAAUGAAGCGACAAGUGACAUCAACACAAGCUGGAUGGUCUCUGAGGGCCCCGACGAGAUCAGACUGGACGGGUUAUAGAAAGGAUGCUUCACGCCAAAACUUUUCCUCUUUAUUCUACUGAUCUUUCUGACUGUGCAAAAUAAAAAACGCUUCAAGCAUUCACAAAGACAA